Long non-coding RNA from Gossypium raimondii (Peruvian cotton), 1673 nucleotides. RefSeq lists it as uncharacterized. Lineage: Eukaryota; Viridiplantae; Streptophyta; Magnoliopsida; Malvales; Malvaceae. The record is from RefSeq and is a predicted model, not a curated record. The transcript is spliced from 7 exons.
ACGCACCAUAAUGGAAUACACGUGUAGACCAUGGGAGACUACAAACAACAGGAGUAGGUCACAAAACCAUUGGAAACCGCCAUUUCCUUUAAUCCCUGCUCUCAGAAAACCAAUCGUUCUUAUCGCCCUCAUAAAAAAUCCCCAUCACCAAAACCCUUUUGAAUAAAACAUCAACUACCCACAAGCCAUUCCAACACCCGCUCCGUCGUCCUCUCCAACACCCCUACAGUUCAAAGCCACCAUCUCUACCAGGUAACUAUUUUCCAGAUUUAGACCAUCUCCCCUUCUCCAUCCCUCUUGUACUAGGAAAUAAGCCAAUAUGUUCACCUCUCGGGGACAUAAAUAACCUCACAGUCUCCAAAUUUUCGUUGUUCAAUUCUAAUGUCAUGAAUAUACGCCCCAAUGCUGAUCUAUCAACACAGCUUGAGUUCGUUUUCGUUAUCACAGAAAGAGAAUCCCCUUCCACCACCACCCUUUUAAAACCAAGAUCCACCCCCAAUCUAAGCGCUUAAAGGCAUGCAAGUGCCUCAGCCGCAAAGACCGACGGAAUUUGAAGUAAGAACAUGAAAUGCCGGAUCAAAAUUUAUCUUAACGAAAGGUUCAUCUAGUGGUCUCCACCUCUCAAAACCCACUUUCGUAACAGGUCCCAACAACAGCAACAAAAGGAUAAUCCCGAAAGUCAUGCUCCAAAUCCUCCACACCCCGUACACACUUUGGGCAAAUCGUAGAACCCACCAAGCGUCUAUUGUACAAGUUGUGUGAAUUAGGAAUUAGAUUCUUGGAAAUGCGUCAGACUGUGAUUUUAACCUUUUUUGGAAUUUUUAGUUUCCAUAGCUUCUUGUAAAAAAUAUUGUAACAAUCCACUGCAUUUUCAUUUAACUCUUUAUUUCCUUGUAAUAAUUUGUAACUGCUCUGAAUGGUAUACUCACCUACGGGUUCAACUCGCCAAACCACCAUAUCCGGCCGAGGAUGCGAGGCAAGAGGAAUACACUGAAUCCUACUCGCCACAUCAAGAUCAAAACAACUACCUGAAUUUUUUGUAUAGGUAGACCAGGGACCCAGCUAUCCUCUUAUAUGUCAAUGCUUGUGCCUGUGCCCACUUGCUAGCCCAGGCCCUCAGAAGCAGACCCUUUGUAGAUCAUAUACUCUUUUAGAACGAAAAAACCAUAGCCAAGGGAGGAGCAAGCUUCGACCAAAGAAAUUUCAAUUGCAUGGGGUUAUACGAUUUCGGGUGCUGGUCUUGGAUGUUCUACCAAUGGCUGGGGUCCUACAUUUGUUGUCAAUUCCCCACAGCUCGUGUGAGCAGCAUCGUGUAGCUUAACAUUGCGACCCACAGCUCGUGUGAGCAUAUAUGAUUACAUGUUCCAAUCACAGCUUAUAUCACCGGAAAAGCUCAUCGAUUGGAAUUUCGUCGGAGUACAAUCACACUAUCCAUCCUUCUCUUUGGUAGUUUUUUAUUACUUAGUUGAUGGUUAUAAAUGGCAUGUAAUAAGUGUUUUGAGUUAUUUUUCCAAUAUGGUGUGAAUUGAUCUUACUUGUAGCUACUUGUAUAUAUGUUUUUUGUUUUGCUUGUAAAUGUCUAAAAUUAUGUGUUUUAUGGACACUUUGGUUAUGCCUAUGGAAAGUGUUAAAGUCAUUAUGGUUUAUACUGAGAAUGAAAUGACUUUUUGGUA